AACGAACGCUGGCGGCAGGCUUAACACAUGCAAGUCGAACGCGCCCUUCGGGGCGAGUGGCAGACGGGUGAGUAACGCGUGGGAACCUACCUCAAGGUACGGAAUAACUCAGGGAAACUUGAGCUAAUACCGUAUGUGCCCUUACCCCUGAAAAGGUUUGGGGAAAGAUUCAUCGCCUUGGGAUGGGCCCGCGUCGGAUUAGCUAGUUGGUGGGGUAAUGGCCUGCCAAGGCGACGAUCCGUAGCUGGUCUGAGAGGAUGAUCAGCCACACUGGGACUGAGACACGGCCCAGACUCCUACGGGAGGCAUCAGUGGGGAAUAUUGGACAAUGGGGGCAACCCUGAUCCAGCCAUGCCGCGUGGGUGAUGAGGGCCUUAGGGUUGUAAAGCUCUUUCGCCGGUGAAGAUAAUGACGGUAACCGGAGAAGAAGCCCCGGCUAACUUCGUGCCAGCCGCCGCGGUAA
This 463-nucleotide ribosomal RNA is filed under the name uncultured bacterium. Its description in RNAcentral is "partial 16S ribosomal RNA". It matches the Rfam family "Bacterial small subunit ribosomal RNA", at positions 29 to 523 of the family's 1533-position model. The record is from RNAcentral.